GACGGCUAGACGCUGACAGUUGUUCGUGAUCACUAAGGCGAACUUCAACGUUUUCCACUAUAAAUAUCACAAAGUUUUUCUAGCCUUCGAUCUGGCCAAGACGUAGUGCCGAUCACGUGGCGUGAAACUGCUGACCAUGUUACCGAAAUAUCUUGCUUCGAUGCUUCCUGUACGUCUCUCUCUAUGCAGAGAAGGUUAUUAAAAAAGAUGAUUUGAAGCAAGAACUUCAGGUUCGGCAGAAGGCCAUUCACGAGACACCGGACAACGAAAAGCAAGAGAAAGCCGUUGUAGACGAAAACGAAAAAUCGGAUCCGACGAAAUCGCCGCUGGCCUACCCUGCGAGCAAUAACAACAACAAACUGCCCUCCAGCGUGCCCCUCAAACCAUUGGCAGUGACCGACACGGGAAUCACUCAGGCAGCCCGGCAUUCCGCCUUGAACAUUGUUGGAGAUUUGCUUCGACGAGUUGGGUGUUUAAGGCAGCAGCUCAGCAACGUCCAAAAUCCAUCACCUGGAGUUUACUACCCACUCUUUCCCAGGCGUUAGAGAACAAAUUAUCAACGUGCCGGACUAUGGUGAAGGAGGGCAACGGGACGGUCAAGGAAGCUACUAGGUCACGAUGCAAUCUCUCUCUUCUCUCUCUAUCCACUGACCUUAAACUCCUAUACCAUGGUGUGUUUUUGUUCAACAAAUCGUUCUUGAUUAGAAUUUACUUCGGACAAUUAGUCCACCUUAUUUAAUUCAUAUCUAUGGUGAGCCG
This is a long non-coding RNA of Daphnia pulex (common water flea), 759 nucleotides long. RefSeq lists it as uncharacterized. NCBI's taxonomy places the organism in Eukaryota, Metazoa, Arthropoda, Branchiopoda, Diplostraca, Daphniidae. The record is from RefSeq and is a predicted model, not a curated record. The transcript has 6 exons.